Molecule: non-coding RNA, 563 nt
Organism: Paramuricea clavata
Lineage: Eukaryota; Metazoa; Cnidaria; Anthozoa; Malacalcyonacea; Plexauridae
Source: the annotation of a GenBank genome assembly
AAAACGUAAAGUUUUCCGAUCAAAACGCUCGCUACAAAACUCGUAAACAACUUGUUUUCGCGGCGUGGAGUAACGCUUGAAUGCAAAUGGUAAUAUCAGUAACUAGUUAAUAAGUAAAGAUUAAUGUUAAGCGGUGCAUGGUUAGCAUAUAUUAAGGUUAAUACUACAUAACUAAAAUAAGACGAUCCCACUCAGAAGUGCCUGAUGAUAGAAUUUUGAAAUCAGAAGCGGAGACUGGGUGUUUGUGCAUGUGUUUGUGAACGAGUAUACUAGACAUGGUUGAGAUAGAGCGUUCUUUUCCAGUCAAAGGCGAGACUCCCAUAUGCUCUAAGAUACGUGUGUGAAUGUGUCGGCGUGUUUGGCCAACAUACAAUGCGCUACAGCAUUGACACGUGAACUGAUACACAACAACAACACAACAACAACACAACACAACACAACACAACACAACACAACACAACACAACACAACUUGCGGAGUGUCAAUUGCUUUUGACAGUUUUGGGUUUAAUUAUACUGUAAAAACUCUAUGGCAACCGUAAUUUUUAGACAGUGGCAUCGUGU